RNAcentral lists this ribosomal RNA (482 nucleotides) under uncultured bacterium. RNAcentral's name for it is "SSU rRNA". It matches the Rfam family "Bacterial small subunit ribosomal RNA", at positions 26 to 523 of the family's 1533-position model. The record is from RNAcentral.
AGGACGAACGCUGGCGGCGUGCUUAACACAUGCAAGUCGAGCGGUAAGGCUCCUUCGGGAGUACACGAGCGGCGAACGGGUGAGUAACACGUGAGCAAUCUGCCCUUCACUUUGGGAUAACUUCCGGAAACGGAAGCUAAUACCGAAUACGACCAUUACAGACAUCUGUUGAUGGUGGAAAGUUCCGGCGGUGAAGGAUGAGCUCGCGGCCUAUCAGCUUGUUGGUGAGGUAACGGCCCACCAAGGCGACGACGGGUAGCCGGCCUGAGAGGGUGACCGGCCACACUGGGACUGAGACACGGCCCAGACUCCUACGGGAGGCAGCAGUGGGGAAUAUUGGACAAUUGGCGAAAGCCUGAUCCAGCAACGCCGCGUGAGGGAUGACGGCCUUCGGGUUGUAAACCUCUUUCAGCAGGGACGAAGCGAGAGUGACGGUACCUGCAAAGAAGCACCGGCCAACUACGCGCCAGCAGCCGCGGUAA